GUAGGUGGCAAGCGUUGUCCGGAAUUAUUGGGCGUAAAGCGCGCGCAGGCGGUUCUUUAAGUCUGAUGUGAAAGCCCACGGGCUCAACCGUGGAGGGUCAUUGGAAACUGGAGAACUUGAGUACAGAAGAGGAAAGCGGAAUUCCACGUGUAGCGGUGAAAUGCGUAGAGAUGUGGAGGAACACCAGUGGCGAAGGCGGCUUUCUGGUCUGUAACUGACGCUGAGGCGCGAAAGCGUGGGGAGCAAACAGGAUUAGAUACCCUGGUAGUCCACGCCGUAAACGAUGAGUGCUAAGUGUUAGGGGGUUUCCGCCCCUUAGUGCUGCAGCUAACGCAUUAAGCACUCCGCCUGGGGAGUACGGCCGAAAAGGCUG
This 373-nucleotide ribosomal RNA is filed under the name uncultured organism. Its description in RNAcentral is "partial 16S ribosomal RNA". It matches the Rfam family "Bacterial small subunit ribosomal RNA", at positions 527 to 896 of the family's 1533-position model. The record is from RNAcentral.